UUUGCAAUGUUUUAUGUCGAUAUUAUUGUUUCAAAUGUUUACGUUGUUAAUUCGAUUUCGUAAAAGUAAACAUAUAAUUUUAAAGUUAUUUCUUAUAGUAUGCACAUACAGUAGCAUUCCCAAAAGGUACAUUACACGAUUUAAUAUUACUAAUAAUGAGAAGUAACACUAUUAUUGAUUCAGCUUAUACUGGUAUUGAAUUAAUUUAUUUUUAAAAUGAAGCAAAUCAAUAUAAGUACCUAAUAAAUAAAUAAACUACCAUCAUUUUUUUAAAUACACGCUAUUCGCAUUGUGAAUGUCUCUCAAAACCAACAAGCUUGGUAAAGCAUUUUUAGUGCACAAAUAAAAUUUAAAAUUAUUAAAAACUACGAAAAGAAUGAAGUCAUUGAUUCAAAUGGUUCCCGUUUUUUGUCUUAUCUUCCAGAAGAACACCUUAAAAACAAAUUUAGCGUACGUAAUUGAAUUUAUUAUUAAAAUAAUUCUUGCAUUAAUAUCACAUUAUAAUUUGUCACGAUUAAAUCUAUUGAUUUGUUUUGAGUAA
Molecule: long non-coding RNA, 541 nt
Organism: Bombyx mori (domestic silkworm)
Lineage: Eukaryota; Metazoa; Arthropoda; Insecta; Lepidoptera; Bombycidae
Exons: 2
Source: RefSeq, a predicted model, not a curated record